GCAGAAACUAACACAAUGAUGUAAAGCAAUUAUACUCCAAUAAAGAUGUUAAGAAAAAAAAGAAAAUGCAGCAUGGCAACUGCAGUGAUCAGUAUUGCUGAGAGGCCAAAUAAGACAUCUCAUGGAGAAAAUAUUUUGCAUCUAUUGAAGAAGGAACUUGAUUUUACGUGGAUAAUUCAUCCCUUGCCCUGGGCUGACAGCAAAAGGGCCAAGCUCUCCAUAUGUUGAACAACAUUCCACAAUGGCAUAAGCACACAGACAGGUUUCCUGCAGCCCCCCUGACUGUCCCUGUCACCCAGUGCCAGAUGGGAAGUGAGAGCUCAGCUGAUCUACCUCUUUGUGGUGGAAACCCCCAGAGCUUCAGCUCCAGGCUACAGGUUACCGAAGCCGUCAUGAAAAAUUCAGAGCUGAUAUUAACAAGUCUGCUGAAAGUAAAGCGCGUGUCACAUUAUCUACCCUGCCUUUCAGUUAAUACUAAAGCUACUGUCGCCAAAGAAGAAAUGCAGACUUGCUGUGCUUGUGUUCAGAGCUAUUUGCGUUGUACUAUGUAGAUUCAGAAAUAAGAAGAAAGAUGUUGUAAAAAGUAGAAGACAGAAAGAUCAGACAGCUGAAUUACUGAGAAUCCUUGAGAAUGAGGAUAGAAGAGAGAAUUGAAAGUGGCCUCAAUACUUGGAGUGAAAUAUGGAAAUAUGUUACUGAAGUUCCCCUCCUGCAGCUUCGGUAAAUAAUUAAACAUGUUUAUAAUUGUUAUAUAUGCACAUUGCUGCUAUUUAUCCAGUAAUAAAUCUAUUUCCUAAAGGUUCUUUUAAUUAAAAAAGACAAUCCUGUAGACAAAAUUUUGAGAUUAAA
This is a long non-coding RNA of Aethalodelphis obliquidens (Pacific white-sided dolphin), 849 nucleotides long. RefSeq lists it as uncharacterized. The record is from RefSeq and is a predicted model, not a curated record. Lineage: Eukaryota; Metazoa; Chordata; Mammalia; Artiodactyla; Delphinidae. The transcript is spliced from 3 exons.